GUGCACCAGGCGCGAAACCUCCGCAAUGCACGCAAGUGCGACGGGGGAACCCCAAGUGCCACUCUUAACGGGGUGGCUUUUCAGAAGUGUAAAAAGCUUCUGGAAUAAGGGCUGGGCAAGACCGGUGCCAGCCGCCGCGGUAACACCGGCAGCUCAAGUGGUAGCCGCUUUUAUUGGGCCUAAAGCGUCCGUAGCCGGUCUGAUAAGUCUCUGGUGAAAUCCCACAGCUUAACUGUGGGAAUUGCUGGAGAUACUAUCAUGACUCGAGGUCGGGAGAGGCUGGAGGUACUCCCAGGGUAGGGGUGAAAUCCUGUAAUCCUGGGAGGACCACCUGUGGCGAAGGCGUCCAGCUGGAACGAACCUGACGGUGAGGGACGAAAGCCAGGGGCGCGAACCGGAUUAGAUACCCCCGUAGUCC
This 418-nucleotide ribosomal RNA is filed under the name uncultured Methanothermobacter sp. Its description in RNAcentral is "bacterial SSU rRNA". It matches the Rfam family "Archaeal small subunit ribosomal RNA", at positions 330 to 747 of the family's 1478-position model. The record is from RNAcentral. Lineage: Archaea; Methanobacteriati; Methanobacteriota; Methanobacteria; Methanobacteriales; Methanobacteriaceae.